Molecule: ribosomal RNA, 273 nt
Filed under: uncultured bacterium
Lineage: Bacteria
Description: partial 16S ribosomal RNA
Rfam family: Bacterial small subunit ribosomal RNA
Source: RNAcentral
GACAGAGGUGCCGAGCGUUAGGCGGAAUCACUGGGCUUAAAGCGUGUGUAGGCGGACUCGUAAGUGCUUUGUGAAAUCCCACGGCUCACCCGUGGAACUGCUUGGCAUACUGCGAGCCUUGAGCCACUUAGGGGCAACCGGAACAAACGGUGGAGCGGUGAAAUGCGUAGAUAUCGUUUGGAACGCCAAUGGUGAAAACAGGUUGCUGGGAGUGCGCUGACGCUGAGACACGAAAGCCAGGGGAGCAAACGGGAUUAGAAACCCCCGUAGUCC